CCAAAGGCUCUUUUCAGAGCCACCCACCUCUUCGGAUAAGAGCUGU
Non-coding RNA from Mesocricetus auratus (golden hamster), 46 nucleotides. Lineage: Eukaryota; Metazoa; Chordata; Mammalia; Rodentia; Cricetidae. The record is from Rfam.